GCUGUUGUAGCUCAGUAGUUAAGCGCUCGGCUGCUAACUGAAAGGUUAGCAGUUCAAAUCCACCAGCC
Molecule: transfer RNA, 68 nt
Filed under: Loxodonta africana (African savanna elephant)
Lineage: Eukaryota; Metazoa; Chordata; Mammalia; Proboscidea; Elephantidae
Rfam family: tRNA
About the family: Transfer RNA (tRNA) molecules are approximately 80 nucleotides in length. Their secondary structure includes four short double-helical elements and three loops (D, anti-codon, and T loops).
Source: Rfam by way of RNAcentral